GACGAACGCUGGCGGCGUGCUUAACACAUGCAAGUCGAACGGAAAGGCCCUGCUUUUGUGGGGUGCUCGAGUGGCGAACGGGUGAGUAACAAGUGAGUAACCUGCCUUUGACUUUGGGAUAACUUCAGGAAACUGGGGCUAAUACCGGAUAGGAGCUCCUGCUGCAUGGUGGGGGUUGGAAAGAUUCGGCGGUUGGGGAUGGACUCGCGGCUUAUCAGCUUGUUGGUGGGGUAGUGGCUUACCAAGGCUUUGACGGGUAGCCGGCCUGAGAGGGGGACCGGCCACAUUGGGACUGAGAUACGGCCCAGACUCCUACGGGAGGCAGCAGUGGGGAAUAUUGCACAAUGGGCGGAAGCCUGAUGCAGCAACGCCGCGUGCGGGAUGACGGCCUUCGGGUUGUAAACCGCUUUCGCCUGUGACGAAGCGUGAGUGACGGUAAUGGGUAAAGAAGCACCGGCUAACUACGUG
RNAcentral lists this ribosomal RNA (468 nucleotides) under uncultured bacterium. Its description in RNAcentral is "partial 16S ribosomal RNA". It matches the Rfam family "Bacterial small subunit ribosomal RNA", at positions 28 to 507 of the family's 1533-position model. The record is from RNAcentral.